GACGAACGCUGGCGGCGUGCUUAACACAUGCAAGUCGAACGGAAAGGCCCUGCUUUUGUGGGGUGCUUGAGUGGCGAACGGGUGAGUAACACGUGAGUAACCUGCCCUUGACUUUGGGAUAACUUCAGGAAACUGGGGCUAAUACCGGAUAGGAGCUCCUGCUGCAUGGUGGGGGUUGGAAAGUUUCGGCGGUUGGGGAUGGACUCGCGGCUUAUCAGCUUGUUGGUGGGGUAGUGGCUUACCAAGGCUUUGACGGGUAGCCGGCCUGGGAGGGUGACCGGCCACAUUGGGACUGAGAUACGGCCCAGACUCCUACGGGAGGCAGCAGUGGGGAAUAUUGCACAAUGGGCGGAAGCCUGAUGCAGCAACGCCGCGUGCGGGAUGACGGCCUUCGGGUUGUAAACCGCUUUCGCCUGUGACGAAGCGUGAGUGACGGUAAUGGGUGAAGAAGCACCGGCUAACUACGU
RNAcentral lists this ribosomal RNA (467 nucleotides) under uncultured bacterium. Its description in RNAcentral is "partial 16S ribosomal RNA". It matches the Rfam family "Bacterial small subunit ribosomal RNA", at positions 28 to 506 of the family's 1533-position model. The record is from RNAcentral.